CUGCGGAAGGAUCAUUAUUGAGCUUAACAAUUCAUUUGUUGAAAAAAUUGUUUUUAAACAAUUUUUCCAGUUGAUUCGAUCUUGACCAAAUCGAAGCUUCAACUAAGAAAACGGCAUUGAUCGGUUUCUGAAGGCGUUUGGAGCAGUUGUAUGUGCGUGGCUGUGGUGAUAAACGUUUUACUACUACUUCCUGUGUAGUAAGAAUUAAAGAAGUUGGGCUGUGACUCGCCGUUCGUAAAUAAAUUACCAUUUGACAUUUGUAACGUGAAACGUUAAUUGCGCUCAGGUGCAUUUAAUUGAUGAAUAAUGAACAAGUCUUGUCGGUGGAUCACUUGGUUCGUAGAUCGAUGAAGAACGGGGCAAAAACCGUUAUAUAGCGUGAAUUGCAGACAUAUUGAACGCUAAAAUUUUGAACGCAAAUGGCACUAACAGGUUUAUAUCUGUUAGUAUGUUCAAUUGAGGGUCGAUUAAUUCGUUACUUGCAAUCAGCGUUGACUGAUUGUUUUUUCGAUUAGUUAAUUGUGCUACUUCUGUGUGGUAUGAUUACCUUUUCGGUAUGGUUGUUACGAUAGUUUAAUAAACGUUGGGCUUGCUUAGCGUUUGCUAUCUUAUCGAAUCUUUGCAAGGUAUUAGUUUUGUUUGGCGCGUGCCAACUGACUUGUACACGAGCGUUCGUGUAUGUAAAUUAGUGAAUCUGGUUAAAGUCAGUUCAAGACUAUAAGUUAGUUUAACAUGUUUUGUGACUAACGUGUUCUUUUGCUUAGAUUAAAAAAUGCUCGAUAUUUUCGAUUGCGACCUCAAUUUGAGCAAGAUUACCCGCUGA
Molecule: ribosomal RNA, 823 nt
Filed under: Steinernema ralatorei
Lineage: Eukaryota; Metazoa; Nematoda; Chromadorea; Rhabditida; Steinernematidae
Description: eukaryotic LSU rRNA
Rfam family: 5.8S ribosomal RNA (bases 313-466)
Source: RNAcentral